This 110-nucleotide ribosomal RNA is filed under the name Candidatus Scalindua sp. RNAcentral also lists the same sequence under 1 other name. The record is from RNAcentral. Lineage: Bacteria; Pseudomonadati; Planctomycetota; Candidatus Brocadiia; Candidatus Brocadiales; Candidatus Scalinduaceae.
UCCGGUGACUAUAGUACAAGGAUCAUACCCGUUCCCAUUCCGAACACGGUAGUUAAUAUUUGUACGCCGAUGGUACUGUCCAAAAGACGGGAGAGUAGGUAUUGCCGGAU